UACGUAGGGUGCGAGCGUUGUCCGGAAUUAUUGGGCGUAAAGAGCUUGUAGGCGGUUUGUCGCGUCUGCCGUGAAAAUUCGAGGCUCAACCUCGAACUUGCGGUGGGUACGGGCAGACUAGAGUGUGGUAGGGGAGACUGGAAUUCCUGGUGUAGCGGUGAAAUGCGUAGAUAUCUGGAGGAACACCGGUGGCGAAGGCGGCAUCCUGGACCGGUAUUGACGCUGAGGCGCGAAAGCCAGGGGAGCAAACGGG
RNAcentral lists this ribosomal RNA (253 nucleotides) under uncultured bacterium. Its description in RNAcentral is "partial 16S ribosomal RNA". It matches the Rfam family "Bacterial small subunit ribosomal RNA", at positions 524 to 776 of the family's 1533-position model. The record is from RNAcentral.